Molecule: ribosomal RNA, 253 nt
Filed under: uncultured bacterium
Lineage: Bacteria
Description: partial 16S ribosomal RNA
Rfam family: Bacterial small subunit ribosomal RNA
Source: RNAcentral
GACAGAGGGGGCAAGCGUUGCUCGGAAUUACUGGGCGUAAAGGGCGCGUAGGCGGGAUGGCAAGUCGGUCGUGAAAUCCCUCGGCUCAACCGAGGAACGUCGAUCGAUACUGCUGUUCUUGAGGAUUGCAGAGGAGACUGGAAUUCCCGGUGUAGCGGUGAAAUGUGUAGAGAUCGGGAGGAACACCGGUGGCGAAGGCGGGUCUCUGGGCAAUUCCUGACGCUGAAGCGCGAAAGCUAGGGGAGCGAACGGG